Molecule: ribosomal RNA, 292 nt
Filed under: uncultured bacterium
Lineage: Bacteria
Description: partial 16S ribosomal RNA
Rfam family: Bacterial small subunit ribosomal RNA
Source: RNAcentral
GUGCCAGCAGCCGCGGUAAUACGUAGGUGGCAAGCGUUGUCCGGAUUUACUGGGCGUAAAGGGAGCGUAGGUGGAUAUUUAAGUGGGAUGUGAAAUACCUGAGCUUAACUUGGGUGCUGCAUUCCAAACUGGAUAUCUAGAGUGCAGGAGAGGAAAGUGGAAUUCCUAGUGUAGCGGUGAAAUGCGUAGAGAUUAGGAAGAACCCCAGUGGCGAAGGCGACUUUCUGGACUGUAACUGACACUGAGGCUCGAAAGCGUGGGGAGCAAACAGGAUUAGAAACCCCAGUAGUCC